RNAcentral lists this ribosomal RNA (604 nucleotides) under uncultured Colletotrichum. RNAcentral's name for it is "eukaryotic LSU rRNA". The stretch from base 243 to 396 matches the Rfam family "5.8S ribosomal RNA". The record is from RNAcentral. Lineage: Eukaryota; Fungi; Ascomycota; Sordariomycetes; Glomerellales; Plectosphaerellaceae.
UCUUGGGUCAAUUAGAGGAAGUAAAAGUCGUAACAAGGUCUCCGUUGGUGAACCAGCGGAGGGAUCAUUACUGAGUUUACGCUCUACAACCCUUUGUGAACAUACCUAUAACUGUUGCUUCGGCGGGUAGGGUCUCCGUGACCCUCCCGGCCUCCCGCCCCCGGGCGGGUCGGCGCCCGCCGGAGGAUAACCAAACUCUGAUUUAACGACGUUUCUUCUGAGUGGUACAAGCAAAUAAUCAAAACUUUUAACAACGGAUCUCUUGGUUCUGGCAUCGAUGAAGAACGCAGCGAAAUGCGAUAAGUAAUGUGAAUUGCAGAAUUCAGUGAAUCAUCGAAUCUUUGAACGCACAUUGCGCCCGCCAGCAUUCUGGCGGGCAUGCCUGUUCGAGCGUCAUUUCAACCCUCAAGCUCUGCUUGGUGUUGGGGCCCUACAGCUGAUGUAGGCCCUCAAAGGUAGUGGCGGACCCUCCCGGAGCCUCCUUUGCGUAGUAACUUUACGUCUCGCACUGGGAUCCGGAGGGACUCUUGCCGUAAAACCCCCAAUUUUCCAAAGGUUGACCUCGGAUCAGGUAGGAAUACCCGCUGAACUUAAGCAUAUCAAA